RNAcentral lists this ribosomal RNA (314 nucleotides) under uncultured Enterobacteriaceae bacterium. RNAcentral describes it as "bacterial SSU rRNA". It matches the Rfam family "Bacterial small subunit ribosomal RNA", at positions 355 to 660 of the family's 1533-position model. The record is from RNAcentral. Lineage: Bacteria; Pseudomonadati; Pseudomonadota; Gammaproteobacteria; Enterobacterales; Enterobacteriaceae.
UGGGGAAUAUUGCACAAUGGGCGCAAGCCUGAUGCAGCCAUGCCGCGUGUAUGAAGAAGGCCUUCGGGUUGUAAAGUACUUUCAGCGAGGAGGAAGGCGUUGUGGUUAGUAAACCGCACGAUUGACGUUACUCGCAGAAGAAGCACCGGCUAACUCCGUGCCAGCAGCCGCGGUAAUACGGAGGGUGCAAGCGUUAAUCGGAAUUACUGGGCGUAAAGCGCACGCAGGCGGUCUGUCAAGUCGGAUGUGAAAUCCCCCGGGCUCAACCUGGGAACUGCAUCCGAAACUGGCAGGCUAGAGUCUUGUAGAGGGGU